This 371-nucleotide ribosomal RNA is filed under the name Streptomyces sp. WAC 01420. RNAcentral describes it as "bacterial SSU rRNA". It matches the Rfam family "Bacterial small subunit ribosomal RNA", at positions 1170 to 1533 of the family's 1533-position model. The record is from RNAcentral. Lineage: Bacteria; Bacillati; Actinomycetota; Actinomycetes; Kitasatosporales; Streptomycetaceae.
AAGGUGGGGACGACGUCAAGUCAUCAUGCCCCUUAUGUCUUGGGCUGCACACGUGCUACAAUGGCCGGUACAAUGAGCUGCGAUACCGCAAGGUGGAGCGAAUCUCAAAAAGCCGGUCUCAGUUCGGAUUGGGGUCUGCAACUCGACCCCAUGAAGUCGGAGUCGCUAGUAAUCGCAGAUCAGCAUUGCUGCGGUGAAUACGUUCCCGGGCCUUGUACACACCGCCCGUCACGUCACGAAAGUCGGUAACACCCGAAGCCGGUGGCCCAACCCCUUGUGGGAGGGAGCUGUCGAAGGUGGGACUGGCGAUUGGGACGAAGUCGUAACAAGGUAGCCGUACCGGAAGGUGCGGCUGGAUCACCUCCUUUCUA